This 201-nucleotide unclassified non-coding RNA is filed under the name Hevea brasiliensis (rubber tree). Lineage: Eukaryota; Viridiplantae; Streptophyta; Magnoliopsida; Malpighiales; Euphorbiaceae. The record is from RNAcentral.
GAGGUAUUUGGUUCGUCGUGAUCAUCAAUGUCGGUUGCUUCGGCUGCUCAAGAUAUCAAUCAUCAGUUAAAACUAAUGAGAAAUUAUGCAUGUGGUUGCUAUAAGAGUUGUAAUCUUACCCUAAUUUGGUUAUUUGUAAAAUUAGGUAUUUUUGAUUGGCAGUAGUGUUAAUUGUUGUUUUAAAAUAUAAUGAGAGUCUGG